UGGGGAAUUUUGGACAAUGGGGGAAACCCUGAUCCAGCCAUCCCGCGUGUGCGAUGAAGGCCUUCGGGUUGUAAAGCACUUUUGGCAGGAAAGAAACGUCGCGGGUUAAUACCCCGCGAAACUGACGGUACCUGCAGAAUAAGCACCGGCUAACUACGUGCCAGCAGCCGCGGUAAUACGUAGGGUGCAAGCGUUAAUCGGAAUUACUGGGCGUAAAGCGUGCGCAGGCGGUUCGGAAAGAAAGAUGUGAAAUCCCAGAGCUUAACUUUGGAACUGCAUUUUUAACUACCGGGCUAGAGUGUGUCAGAGGGAGGUGGAAUUCCGCGUGUAGCAGUGAAAUGCGUAGAUAUGCGGAGGAACACCGAUGGCGAAGGCAGCCUCCUGGGAUAACACUACGCUCAUGCACGAAAGCGUGGGGAGCAAACAGGAUUAGAUACCCUGGUAGUCCACGCCCUAAACGAUGUCAACUAGCUGUUGGGGCCUUCGGGCCUUGGUAGGCGCAGCUAACGCGUGAAGUUGACCGCCUGGGGAGUACGGUCGGCAAGAUUAAAACUCAAAU
Molecule: ribosomal RNA, 559 nt
Filed under: uncultured bacterium
Lineage: Bacteria
Description: partial 16S ribosomal RNA
Rfam family: Bacterial small subunit ribosomal RNA
Source: RNAcentral